ACUGCAUAGUUCUAAAUUAAUCUUGCUUUUGUGAAUUUAUUUACAAAGUGGACUUCUUUUAAAUGCAUUCAAGUUUGACUUAAGUGGUUUUGUCUAAUUUUCAGGAUUACAUGAUAAGUUGAUAACUAAGGGUUGUAAGCAACAAUGUCUUCCUCUAGUUCAAAUAAGAAAGUUGAUCCAGCUUGGAAAUAUGGUUGUCCCAAUCCUAAUGAAAAGAACAAUGUAGCUUGCAAAUUAUGUAAAAAGGACUACAAUGUUGGCAUUAAUCGAUUAAGGAAAUGUUUGGCCGGCAUUAAUUUGACAUAGCGUCAUGCACUCAAGUCCCUGGAGAUGUUGAAAAAGAGAUGUUGGAAAAGGUCCAAAAGAAGAGAGAAGAGACAAGGAAACAAUAUGAAGAUAUUAGGAGAUCUGUAAAAUAUCUAUGGAAUAGAAGACAAAGAAGAGGAAAGGACCUUCAUAUCUAGACCAACCACUUUUGGGCAUAAGAGACCUCGAAGAAAGGGGCCUAUUGAUACAUUCUUCCCCCCUCCUGAUCCCGAGGUGGUAGUUUGAGAAUGGGUACAGGCACAAACUAGUCUAGACAGUCAAGUAAAGAAGCAGGAUAGGGAUCAUAUUAAUUAGUAGCAUCAUGAUAUUAUCAAGCAGAUCUACUAUUUAAUACAGCUAGCUUAAAGAGCUUCCAAGCUAUGUUGGGGGCAACAGGCAGUUUGGCCUCGACUAUAGGGCACUUACACCUUAUGAGUUCAAGGUUCCUUUGUUGAAUAAAGAAGUGGAGCUCACAAAUGACUAUCUGAAGACCCACAAGGAUGCAUGGGGCAAGUGUGGGGUGAUCACUAUAACAGAUACUUGGAGCAAUAAAAGGUCAAUGAGUAUUAUGAAUUUACUGGUUAAUUGUCCCAUGGGGACAAUUUUUGGGAGGUCCAAUGACGCACCUGAUAAGAUUCAUGAUGCGAGUUUCAUAUUUGGAGUGGUAGAUAAGUGUAUUGAGGAGGUGGAAGAGGCAAAUGUUGUGCAAGAUUGUCACUGAUAUGGCUAAGGCCAAUAUGACGGCUGCUAGAUUGUUGGAAGCGGUAAAGGGGAUAAUCGAUAAAGCAAAAGUUUUGACAGUAAUCAUUUACAACCACACCAAUUAAAAUGAGGAAGUAUACAAAAGGGCUGACUUGGUGAGGCCGAGGAUCACAUGGUUUGCAACUUCAAAGUUGUCUUUGGAUUCUCUUAAAAAUAAAAAAGAAAGAAUCAAACCAUGUUUGUUUCCUUAGAUUGGAAGGAAAGCAAGUGGUCUAAGGAGACAAAGGGAAAAUGGUGUAUGACAUUGUUAAGACACCCAAGUUUUGGAGUGGGGUUCAGUAAUGCAUCUAUCUUUUUGAGCCACUUGUAAAAUACUACGCCUUGUGUAUAGUGAAAAGGAACCGGCAAUGGGGCACAUUUACAAGUCAAUGGAGGUUGUAAGAGAAGAAAUCAAGAUGAACUUGAAAAAAGAUGAAAGUAAAUAUGGCUCCAUUUUGAAAAUUAUAGAUAACAAAUGGGGGGAUUUACAGUUGGAGAGACCCCUACACCUACAUUGAUUGUGAGAGAGAGAGUAGGGAUUGUUUCAUAGAAGCAAUUAACAAGUGUAAUAUGAAGCUCAACCCUGACUCAGAUAUCCAAGACAAAGUGUCUAUGUAACUUGACUUGUAUCAGUACUGUACAGAGACACUUGGGAUGGUCUUCGCAAUAAGGCAAAGAAGAAAAAUAUAUCCAUCUUCAUAGUGGGCCAACCAUGGGCAAAGUGCUCCCAACUUGCAAAGGAUGGCGCAAUGGAUUUUGAGAUUGACUUGCACAUUAUCUGGAUGCGAGUGCAAUUUCAGUACAUUUGAGAUGGUCCAUACAAAGAAGAGAAACAGACUUCAACAGAAGAGACUGAAGAGCGUUGCUUCUGUUCAGUAUAUUCAGAAGCCGAGGGCAUGUCAUAUAGAGUGAUAUCAAAUAUCCGACCCCAUAGUUGUGAAAGAUUUGAAUGAAUCAAGAAAAUGGUUGGUCGAGGAGGAUGCUGGGAUUAGCCUGUAUUCGAGGGAGACAAUUUGACAUGGACCUAAGUACAAGAGCCCGCUGAUAUGGCAUCGAGCCCCAUGAGAACUACUAGAUCUCAAACUCAGAUUAAAGGGAACACAAUGAUAAAGGAGAAGGGAAACGGGAAAGGAGAAGGUGAGGACGAAGAGGAAAAAGACGAUAGUGGAGGAGGAGAGGAUGCAGACUCAAAAGAGGAGACAAGGGAAGAUGCUCAUUAUGAGGAGGAGGAGGAUGUCUUUAAUGAUGAUGGUUUGGCAGCAUCAUCAAGUUUAGGUGCAUUUCAUGCUGGCCUUGGAUGUGGAUGUCAUAUUACCCUAGCCGACCGGACUACUUGACAUCGGGGACGAGGUAGAAGGCAUAGCAGGUCAUCCUCCUGUAGAAGUGAGGAGCAACAAUCAACCGCCCUACCGCAUCCUUGAGGGACCCCAGGUAACUCCCAUUCCCAUGUGAUCAAGAUCGCUUCCUCUGGAAACUGGGCUUUAAGCCGCUCUCAGUGAUGAUGAAACUUACUAUCAUAUUUGAGUUCAUCAUAUUUGUGGGAUGAAGAAUGCUACUUUUUCUAGUUCAUGGCCUUUGAAUUGUGAGUUGUGCCUUUUUCUUAUCAGUUAUCUUUUGCAACAUGCAAGAUGUAAUGGAUA
Non-coding RNA from Amborella trichopoda, 2687 nucleotides. The record is from RefSeq and is a predicted model, not a curated record. NCBI's taxonomy places the organism in Eukaryota, Viridiplantae, Streptophyta, Magnoliopsida, Amborellales, Amborellaceae.